GACGAACGCUGGCGGCGUGCUUAACACAUGCCAGUCGAACGCUGAAGCUCAGCUUGCUGGGUGGAUGAGUGGCGAACGGGUGAGUAACACGUGAGUAACCUGCCCUCUUCUUUGGGAUAACGCCCGGAAACGGGUGCUAAUACUGGAUAUUCACUGAUUCUCGCAUGGGGGUUGGUGGAAAGGUUUUUUCUGGUGGGGGAUGGGCUCGCGGCCUAUCAGCUUGUUGGUGGGGUGAUGGCCUACCAAGGCUUUGACGGGUAGCCGGCCUGAGAGGGUGACCGGUGACAUUGGGACUGAGAUACGGCCCAGACUCCUACGGGAGGCAGCAGUGGGGAAUAUUGCACAAUGGGCGAAAGCCUGAUGCAGCGACGCCGCGUGAGGGAUGGAGGCCUUCGGGUUGUAAACCUCUUUCGCUCAUGGUCAAGCCGCAGCUUUGGGUUGUGGUGAGGGUAGUGGGUAAAGAAGCGCCGGCUAACUACGUG
Molecule: ribosomal RNA, 482 nt
Filed under: uncultured bacterium
Lineage: Bacteria
Description: partial 16S ribosomal RNA
Rfam family: Bacterial small subunit ribosomal RNA
Source: RNAcentral